RNAcentral lists this ribosomal RNA (867 nucleotides) under Millesimomyces rhoicissi. RNAcentral describes it as "partial large subunit ribosomal RNA". It matches the Rfam family "Eukaryotic large subunit ribosomal RNA", at positions 57 to 952 of the family's 3401-position model. The record is from RNAcentral. Lineage: Eukaryota; Fungi; Ascomycota; Sordariomycetes; Amphisphaeriales; Sporocadaceae.
AAAAGUACUACAGGGAUUGCCCUAGUAACGGCGAGUGAAGCAGGCAACAGCUCAAAUUUGAAAUCUGGCCCUUGGGUCCGAAUUGUAAUUUGUAGAGGAUGAUUUUGGUGCGGUAUCUUCCGAGUUCCUUGGAACAGGACGCCUUAGAGGGUGAGAGCCCCGUACGGUCGAAUGCCUAGCCUCUGUAAAUCUCCUUCGACGAGUCGAGUAGUUUGGGAAUGCUGCUCUAAAUGGGAGGUAAAUUUCUUCUAAAGCUAAAUACUGGCCAGAGACCGAUAGCGCACAAGUAGAGUGAUCGAAAGAUGAAAAGCACUUUGAAAAGAGGGUUAAAUAGCACGUGAAAUUGUUGAAAGGGAAGGAUUUAUGACCAGACUUUUUCUGGGCGGAUCAUCCGGUGUUCUCACCGGUGCACUUUGCCCAGUUUAGGCCAGCAUCGAUUUUCGGAGAGGGAUAAAAGCUUUGGGAAUGUGGCUCCUUCGGGAGUGUUAUAGCCCAUUGUAUAAUACCUUUCUGGGGAUCGAGGUACGCGCUUCUGCAAGGAUGCUGGCGUAAUGGUUAUCAAUCACCCGUCUUGAAACACGGACCAAGGAGUCGAACAUUUGUGCAAGUGUUUGGGUGUUAAACCCUCACGCGUAAUGAAAGUGAACGGAGGUGAGAGCCCUUACGGGUGCAUCAUCGACCGAUCCUGAAGUUUUCGGAUGGAUUUGAGUAAGAGCAUAACUGUUCGGACCCGAAAGAUGGUGAACUAUGCGUGGAUAGGGUGAAGCCAGAGGAAACUCUGGUGGAGGCUCGCAGCGGUUCUGACGUGCAAAUCGAUCGUCAAAUCUGCGCAUGGGGGCGAAAGACUAAUCGAACCAUCUAGUAGCU